This is a small nuclear RNA of Chlorocebus sabaeus (green monkey), 60 nucleotides long. Its record names the gene U7. It matches the Rfam family "U7 small nuclear RNA". Rfam says of the family: Animal histone pre-mRNAs are spliced by a different mechanism than nuclear pre-mRNAs and self-splicing introns. This processing involves the U7 snRNP, which contains only one RNA species: U7. NCBI's taxonomy places the organism in Eukaryota, Metazoa, Chordata, Mammalia, Primates, Cercopithecidae. The record is from Ensembl.
AAGCACUGCAGCUUUUAGAAUUUGUCUAGCAGGUUUUCUGAUUUUCGCUAGAGGUCCCCC